AGAACUUAGCAGAGAUGCUUUGGUGCCUUCGGGAACUCUGAGACAGGUGCUGCAUGGCUGUCGUCAGCUCGUGUUGUGAAAUGUUGGGUUAAGUCCCGCAACGAGCGCAACCCUUAUCCUUUGUUGCCAGCGGGUUAUGCCGGGAACUCAAAGGAGACUGCCAGUGAUAAACUGGAGGAAGGUGGGGAUGACGUCAAGUCAUCAUGGCCCUUACGAGUAGGGCUACACACGUGCUACAAUGGCGCAUACAAAGAGAAGCGACCUCGCGAGAGCAAGCGGACCUCAUAAAGUGCGUCGUAGUCCGGAUUGGAGUCUGCAACUCGACUCCAUGAAGUCGGAAUCGCUAGUAAUCGUAGAUCAGAAUGCUACGGUGAAUACGUUCCCGGGCCUUGUACACACCGCCCGUCACACCAUGGGAGUGGGUUGCAAAAGAAGUAGGUAGCUUAACCUUCGGGAGGGCGCUUACCACUUUGUGAUUCAUGACUGGGGUGAAGUCGUAACAAGGUAAGCGUAGUGCU
RNAcentral lists this ribosomal RNA (518 nucleotides) under uncultured bacterium. Its description in RNAcentral is "bacterial SSU rRNA". It matches the Rfam family "Bacterial small subunit ribosomal RNA", at positions 992 to 1509 of the family's 1533-position model. The record is from RNAcentral.